AUUGAACGCUGGCGGCAGGCCUAACACAUGCAAGUCGAACGAGCUUUGUUUUCGGAUUCUUCGGAUGACGAAGUUCAAAGCGAGUGGCGGACGGGUGAGUAACGCGUGAGGAACCUGCCUCAUUCCGGGGGAUACCAGUUGGAAACGACUGUUAAUACCGCAUAAGCGCACAGCACCACAUGGUGCAGUGUGAAAAACUCCGGUGGAAUGAGAUGGCCUCGCGUCUGAUUAGCUUGUUGGCGGGGCAACGGCCCACCAAGGCGACGAUCAGUAGCCGGCCUGAGAGGGUGGACGGCCACAUUGGGACUGAGACACGGCCCAG
RNAcentral lists this ribosomal RNA (322 nucleotides) under uncultured bacterium. RNAcentral describes it as "bacterial SSU rRNA". It matches the Rfam family "Bacterial small subunit ribosomal RNA", at positions 30 to 334 of the family's 1533-position model. The record is from RNAcentral.